RNAcentral lists this ribosomal RNA (912 nucleotides) under Triticum aestivum (bread wheat). Its description in RNAcentral is "partial small subunit ribosomal RNA". The record is from RNAcentral. Lineage: Eukaryota; Viridiplantae; Streptophyta; Magnoliopsida; Poales; Poaceae.
AUGGCCUUGGCUAGGGAGCGCCUCCUAGCCAGCCUAUCGGCUCUUGCGCUGAUGAUCGCCGCCUGGGCCUCUCCGGUUGCCGGUGGUCACCCGGCGGACCAGCUGCAGAUACUGUGGGGGCAGACGAAGGUGCUCAGCGACGGCAACGGCGACCAGACCAUCGCGCUGAUGCUGGACCACGCCAUGGGGUCGGCUUUCAAGUCCAAGACCUCCUACCUCUUUGCCCGGAUCGACGUGGACAUCAAGCUCAUCCCCAGGAACUCCGCCGGCACCGUCACCACCAUAUAUAUGAUCUCGGAGAAGGACUGGAAGACCCACGACGAGAUCGACCUCGAGUUCCUGGGCAACGCCACCGGCCAGCCCUACACCCUGCACACCAACAUCUUCGCCAACGGCGAGGGCGGCAGGGAGGUGCAGUACCGCCUCUGGUUCGACCCCACCAAGGACUUCCACACCUACUCCAUCGUCUGGAACACAGACGAGAUCCUGAUCCUGGUGGACGGCGUGCCGAUCCGGCAGUUCAAGAACCACUGGGACGCCGGGGUGCCCUUCCCGGUGUACCAGCCGAUGCGGCUGUUCGGGUGCCUGUGGGACGCAGACGACUGGGCCACGCAGGGCGGGCGCGUCAAGACCGACUGGUCGCAGGCGCCGUUCGUCGCCUACUUCCGGAACUACACCGCCUCCGGGUGCGCCCCGAGCGCCGGCGGCUCGUGGGCUUGCGGCCCGGACCCCUCCGGCUCCGGCGGCAGCAGCGGCUGGAUGGACCGGGCACGGGGAGGAGGGCGGCUGGACGACGACGUGAAGCAGCAGCAGCAGCUGAGGGAGGUGCAGGGCAAGUACAUGAUCUACAACUACUGCACCGACGAAAAGAGGUUCCCCAAUGGCUUCCCGAAGGAGUGUGGGCUCGCUUAG